This 643-nucleotide ribosomal RNA is filed under the name Zygophyllum xanthoxylum. Its description in RNAcentral is "eukaryotic LSU rRNA". The stretch from base 231 to 386 matches the Rfam family "5.8S ribosomal RNA". The record is from RNAcentral. Lineage: Eukaryota; Viridiplantae; Streptophyta; Magnoliopsida; Zygophyllales; Zygophyllaceae.
UGAACCUGCGGAAGGAUCAUUGUCGAACUCAGCAGAAACGCAAAACGACCCGCGAACAUGUUUCUUAACUACCUCGGGGUUAGGGGAAAGCGAAAGCAUUCCCCUCCCUCGACCGUCGGGGGGGGGGUGACUCCCUGACAUCAAAACGAACCCCGGCGCGGAAAGCGCCAAGGAAAACAAACUAGAUUGAGAGAUUGCGUUCGCGCGAACUCCUUACAAUCGAAGAAAACGACUCUCGGCAACGGAUAUCUCGGCUCUCGCAUCGAUGAAGAACGUAGCGAAAUGCGAUACUUGGUGUGAAUUGCAGAAUCCCGUGAACCAUCGAGUCUUUGAACGCAAGUUGCGCCCGAAGCUUUCGGGCUGAGGGCACGUCUGCCUGGGUGUCACGCAACGUCGCCCCACCCCAAUCUUAGUGGGAGGGAGCGUAUGAUGGCCUCCCGUGAGCCAUUGUUUGCGGUUGACCUAAACAUGAGUCCUCGGCGUGGGGUGUGCCACGGCCUUCGGUGGUCGAACGAACGUGAAGCCCUGACGGACACCGUGCGCCUACCCCGACCGUAAAGAGGCACUCAAGACCCUCGUGAAUGUCAAACCUGACUUCCAAUGACGCGACCCCAGGUCAGGCGGGACCACCCGCUGAGUUUAA